CUCGGGCCAGGCAGCGGAGUGGCGUCAGCCUCAUCGAUCAUCCCCCAUGAAGCAUCGGCGCUCGAUUCCGCCGCCUGCGCGGUCCCGCCAGGAGCGAAGGCCCCAGGGCGGCGGCGGCCGGACCAUCAUCAUGUAGCCCUUUGAAACUAAAGGUACAGAAACUUGAAAGCCAUGUGUUCCAGGCUGAGGGUGUUGGUAUGCAUUCUGCUCUUCAAAGGCUAAGAAAAACAUGGUGAGCUUGACUUCUGUGCCAGCUGCUCUGUGAAUAGCUGAUGCUGACAAAGCAGGAGGCAGAAGUCUUUCUUCAAACUGAGUGAAUGUAUAGAAAACAAUAAAUGAGUCACGAUGAGAAAAAACUGCUUUGAUGAAAAUGUGCCAAAAACAAUAGCUUGAGAGAGAAGUGUAAACUUUCCCUGAUAGUUCUUUGGGGUGUAGACAGUUAAGGGGUUUUUUUUGUGUUUGUAAGGGAAACAUGGCAUUCCUUAAAGCUGAACCUCCUCCCUUGGGUUCCUACUGAAUGCCUGAGAUGUGACAGCAGAGGGUGUCUCCAGAAAGCUAAUAUUAAACAUGAAGAAUUAGUAUGGAGGGAGCAACAGCAAGUGAGAUUCCAGUUUUGACCACAGAAUGAGCUAAAAAGUCUUUCAGCAGCAGCUGUACACAGUUUCUUACUCACACACAGCUGCACGGAACUCCUGUUCAAAGGGUUCUCGUGUGCCCUCACGUUGGGAAAUGCACCUGCCUGCUGCGUGAUGUGUGAAAGGUGGGCUGCUCCGAAAGGGUGAAUCGGCUUUGAGCAAACAAGGUGCUGAGGCAGCGUGAUACAGGGUGAAAUAAACUUGGAAGGGUAGCCUUGGUCCAGGCACACGUGCAACUAGUUUGCUGUCCACAGUGGUUGCAGGGGAGCUCGUGGGCUAAAGAUGUGGACAGGUGGAAGAGAUGCAGGCAGGAAACGGGGAAGAAAGGGGGGUAAAUAGCAUUUAUAAAGCCUUAAGGGGGCUCUGGUUAGUUCUGGGAAAGGGUUUUAGCCAAUCCCACCUCUAUUUUUAACUCUGCGACUAUGACUUUGGGAAAGUUAUCUGAACAAUUCAAGCCAGGUGCAAGUCUGCGGGGAAGGGACAAACCCAUGGGCGCUGGGUGAAGCCUGGGCACCCGGUUGGCUCAUGCGAUGUGGCAGCCACCACCGCACCCUUUCCCGUUUCCCCUGUGGCCGCAGGCAGCCCUGCCAGCUACUGCUGCCCCGAGUGAGGAGAAGGAUGGAAGAAUUGCCUUCCAAGAUGCCGAUAACCGCUAGCACCUGGCAUUACUUGGCAACAGAGAGAUGGCGAGCAGCUCUAGCAUUGUAUCUCCCACAUGCCAGGCCAAAUGCCCUCAAAUGGGACAUUCCGCUCUGGGAACUGCUCUUGAUAGUGUUGACUUUUAGCUGUGUCUCAGCCUCAUCUCCUGUAAAAGGUAAUAUUUGCUUAUGUAAAAAGGUAUCGGCGUACUUUGCAAGGGUGUUCCAAGUUAAAAAUUGUCAGUCAGGGCAAACAGAUCUUAGGGGUGAGCUACAGGAAAGCAAAGUGCACACGCUGCAUUAUUAUGAUUCUUCUCAGAACAAAGAGCGUGACCUGGUGCUGCUCUUGGCAGCUGAAUGCCCCGUUCAGCCAGUCUGAAAAAGCGCUGCAGUGUUUGAGUUCAGCUCUCCUUCAGAUAACACCUAUUCUGUUUCCUUUCUCUUGGUGAGAUGUUUAAGGCAUCUCGGUGAGACACUGAGUUGUGCAUUUGAGGAAUGCACCUCACAACUGUUAAGGUAAGCAUUUAGCAUGGCUCUGCUGGAGGCAGUGAGACCUGCUUCUUCCCAGGUGACUUAUAGUUGCAGAAAAGGGCUAAAUGAGAUACUUAGUCUGAAAUACCAACGGGAGGUAUUUUCAUAUGGAGUGGGAUCCUAUAUUUAAUGGUUCUUUGCAUGUGAAUCUCACUGCAGGAUCUAUAUCUUGGUCCUUCAUUUUGUAGCAGUGUCUAGUCAGGAGGAUAACCUGUAUGCAGCAGAUGUGUGACAUUCAUAGUGGGUUUGGGCGCUUUUUUCCACGAAAGCUACUCUUUACUGCUUCACCUGGGUGAGUGGGAGAUCAGGGUACUGGGGUGGUACUUUGUUGAGAGCAUAGAGGAAUGGGGAAGUAAUUUCUGUACUUAAAAAAAAAGAAUAAAUUGGAAAGAAUAGUAGAAGUGUCAUAACAGGUCCGUUCCAACAGCUGCAAGGUCCUGCUCCUCGCCCAGUGGUGUGUCUGUGCCCUGUGAUAUGGGUGUUUCAUAGAAUCAUUAAGGUUGGGAAAGACCUCCAAGAUCAUCAAGUCCAACCACCAACCCAACACUCCCAUGUCUCCUAAACCAUGCCCUGAAG
Non-coding RNA from Phalacrocorax carbo (great cormorant), 2380 nucleotides. Lineage: Eukaryota; Metazoa; Chordata; Aves; Suliformes; Phalacrocoracidae. The record is from RefSeq and is a predicted model, not a curated record.